Molecule: long non-coding RNA, 383 nt
Filed under: Carica papaya (papaya)
Lineage: Eukaryota; Viridiplantae; Streptophyta; Magnoliopsida; Brassicales; Caricaceae
Description: long non-coding RNA (CPAP_LNC001419)
Source: RNAcentral
GUUUAAUUAGGAUGAAUACUAAACUGAUUAAAUUUGACUAAAUUCACUAUUUAUUAUUUUAUGAAAAUUAAAAAUUCAAUGGAAAAAAAAAAUAAAAAAAUAAAAAAAGGAAAAAGUAAACUAGCUUCCGUGAUUGGCGAUGGGAUUGAGAAGUGCUUGCAAAGCAUAUUAGGUGGAAGGCGCAUUUUCGCCGCUUCUGGUUUUUGUCUCCAAGAAAAACAACUUCGGAUUAGUCAAACCACCAUAGCCUUCCUCUUCUGUUGUAACUUGUAAGAGAUGACACAGCGACACUCCACCUAUCCACAAAACUUUUAAGCAAGACCCACACACACAUGAAUGUAUAUAUUCUUUUUAAUUCGAAUAACAAGUAUGUCAAAACCCAU